CAUUCAAUGUUCAUGCCAUCAGCAGGCGGCGGCGGCAGCAUCUGUGUCGGCGUCGGUGCUCCCUCUCUCUCGCACGAUUCGGCGUCGCUCCCUGCUCCUUGCCUCCGGCAUGCCCCUUCCCUCCAUCACCGAUGGCAGCUAUAUCCCACCAACGGUGCCACCAACCAGCGGGGACAGUAGCCCCCGGUGGCGUGCGGCUUCCCCUCGCGGAUCUGAUGGUCACGCUGCCUUCCUGACCGGCGGUGUACGGUGUCGUCCCAUCACUGGUCAUUUGCUUGUUGAUUAGCAAGGAGAUCCAGGAUUGAGGCUUCUAGAUCUUUCACCAUGACAGACCACCAUGUUCUCGUCGAAGUCUUCAGCAUGUUCUCUGAAUAAACAACUAAAAAUCUAGCAUACAUCUCAUUUUCUCGUUACUCUGUCUCCUCUACAUCUAGAUCUUGAAUUUUUUUUAUUUUUCUCGUUACUCUGUCUCCUCCCCAUCCUCGGAUACUUCCUUUUCUAGAUUGAGGUAUUACUUGAGACUUUCUGGAAUUUUUUUUGUACUACUAAAUACUUUUUUAGAUAGUAGCGGCAAUUCAUACAUUGUUCUACAUUUUUAUAAAGUAGUAUUAUAUGUUGUUCGACAUUUUCUCCUUGUAUCUGUUCACACUCUUUUGGUGCAAAUAUUAGUACGCACUACUACA
Molecule: long non-coding RNA, 683 nt
Organism: Sorghum bicolor (sorghum)
Lineage: Eukaryota; Viridiplantae; Streptophyta; Magnoliopsida; Poales; Poaceae
Exons: 2
Source: RefSeq, a predicted model, not a curated record